GAAAUGCGAUAAGUAAUGCGAAUUGCAGAAUUCAGUGAAUCAUCGAAUCUUUGAACGCACAUUGCGCCCGCCAGCACUCUGGCGGGCAUGCCUGCCCGAGCGUCAUUUCAACCCUCGCCCCCCAGCCGGGGCGGUGUUGGGGACCGGCCUUGGGGGAGCUUCGGCUCCCCCGGCGCCGCCCCCUAAACCCAUUGGCGGCCCCGCCGGCGCGACGCCCGCGUAGUAUCACUACCCCGCGGUCCGGAGCGACGGAGGCGGCACAGCCGUAAAACACCCCAAUUCGGGCCGAGAGGCCUCAGAGUUUGACCUCGGAUCAGGUAGGACUACCCGCUGAACUUAA
Molecule: unclassified non-coding RNA, 340 nt
Filed under: uncultured Monocillium
Lineage: Eukaryota; Fungi; Ascomycota
Description: sequence contains ITS1
Rfam family: 5.8S ribosomal RNA (bases 1-105)
Source: RNAcentral